GAGGACCGUAUUCAUGGAAGAGGAUUGAACAGGUCAGGGCCAUAGAGAAUUGGGAACCCUUGGAAGAUAAAAGCUUGGGGCCUGGGGAUAGGAUCAGAGAACCAGCUGCAGGAAUGUGGGUCAGGGAACAGGGAGCCAUGGGUGAGAUGCCUUAGCGCUUGUCCUGUGUGCUGUUCAGGAUCCCUUAGAAGCACACUGAGGAUUCCUCCCUCCUCAUUGUCUUCUCUAUGACUACUGAGUUCUUAAGAGAAAAAUGGCACUUAAGAAAUUGAUGGUGAUAUCAAAGGAAGGUUACUUAUUACUCUUGGACUUUGAUGAUGAGGACGAUGACAUAAAAGUUUCAGAGGAGGCUCUUGCGGAAGUAAAGAGCCCAGGAUUUGAUAAAAAUGAGAAUAUAUCGCCUCAAGCAGAAGCAGAUGAAUAUAUGGGAGAUGAAGUAGACAGUAUGUUGGAUAAAUCUGGAGUAAAGAACCCAGCAAUUGGUAAAGAUGAGAAUAUAUCGCCUCAAGUAAAAGGAGAUGAAGACAUGGGAGAUGAAAUUGACAGUAUGUUGGCUACAUCUGGAGCUGCAUCAUUGGACUGAAAGUGAAUGGCCCAUGUGUUGCCACUGAUGUGAGCCAUUUGCCUGUUGUGCUUCA
This 638-nucleotide non-coding RNA is filed under the name Mus musculus (house mouse). The record is from RNAcentral. Lineage: Eukaryota; Metazoa; Chordata; Mammalia; Rodentia; Muridae.